Molecule: long non-coding RNA, 2816 nt
Organism: Numida meleagris (helmeted guineafowl)
Lineage: Eukaryota; Metazoa; Chordata; Aves; Galliformes; Numididae
Exons: 4
Source: RefSeq, a predicted model, not a curated record
UGUGGUCACCCACAACACCCAUUCAGAGGUCUUGGUUCUUCUUAUUUCUGCUUCAGACAGUCCUACUUGUAGGAGCGCUGUGUCACACGUUCUGAAGGCAUUUUCUCAAGAAGCUCGAACAGAUGAACUUGCUACUUACCUGAGAAAAAGCCCUGAAACUUCUGAUAAAAAGCUCGGCGCCUGCUCUGGAGGAAUAUUUUGCACUGAUGCAAACAUUUCAGAACCCGUUUGUGAGAGUUCUGUGCCCAUCUCCCUGUCAGGGCCCAGGCUGCUCAGCUGAUGCGCAUGGUGAACAGUCCUCCCACAAAAUGAACAAGCAUUUUCGUACUGAGCACUGCCUGAACUCUUUGGCUGGCAUCCUGUGAAGCACUUAAUCACCUGCUGCCCUGUAAGCUCAUCCACGGUAUGAGGAUAAUCAUCGAGACCAUUUACAUUUAGUCUUGCACUUGCUUCCCUGCAUCAGGAGCAGCACAUUCAGGGCCCUGACAGAUAAAGACCUAAAUGUGUAUCCCAGCAAACAGAGGCAAUAAGUUCCUGCAGCUGGCAUCCCACUUUUUGAUAAGACGCUUCUGAGUAUUAAGGUUGGGUUUUCACUGUAUAGAAGCCAAGUUUUAUGCCUCAGCGUUAUGUGCUGGUGCGCACCUCUGUGCACAGAAUGUCAACGACUGUUCAGACAAACUUUACAAUUACAUGUAUAGAAGGCAUCUACAUUAAAGGCCAUAUGAAGAUGUAUUCUAAUGUACAAGGCUUUUGAGAACUUGGAGAAAAAAACUUUUAAAAAAGAAUGACAGGAGAUUACCAAGUUUGAAACCAAUUUUAUGUGAGCCUCUGCAUUCUAAUGCUUUUGACUAAAUUAUAAACGCAUUGUCUACCUGUUCCCACUGCAGGAUACCUUGAAAGUAUUUAAUAGGCGUUGCUAAUUGCUCACAUUCAUUGUCUCUGAGGACUCCUUUUGCCAGUAUCUGGCAUCUUCUGGAAGUGUCAACCACUGAGGGAUUCAAAAUUUAUUCUGACUCUUUUAUGACUUGCAGUCCAAAUAGAGAUAGUAAGUCAUAGUUUCUCUUUACCAGCUUGUAGUAAUGUAGCCUUUUACUUAUCCAUGAUUGCAAGCAAUUAGAAAGCAUGUAUCUGUUGGGCUGCAUAUUUUGAAGCAAAAUAGCUAUAUGCAGAUUGGCUUAGAUACUGCUUUCCUUACAGACGUUGUCCUCCCGUUUCAUGCCUUUUUAUUAUUUUUGAUGCUCAGAUGAUGCAUGAUGAUGAUCAGAGAAGAUUUAUGUGUGUCACGGGGAGGCCAUAAAGUACAAGGUUAUAUGGGUCAAAGAGGGAGAUGACAGAAGCACGGGCUGAUAUUUUAACAGUAGGUACCAGGAGAAAAGGUUGCAUUUUGAUUUAAAGAGAAAGCUGUGAGAAGGCCUGUUGACAUUUAGGUGGCUGGCAGAAACUGUGGGUGGAAGAUUGCACUGUGAGCUUCAGAUAGUCGUCGUAUUCUUCGUAUCGUGGGAAAGAAAACAGCUAAUUGGUUUGGCUGGUGAGUUGUAACGUGAAGCCAGAUGGAGGCAAUCUAAACUUACUGCUUAAAAGUAGUAAUUUCUGAUUAGUUCUGUCACUGACACUGCCACUGGACCAGAUGCCUUGUACUAUGGUAUUGAGGCUGUCCUAGGAGCUCUCACAGUACUGGGCUUAUACUGGGCAAUACAAAAGAAGGGAAAGAGUUCAAAAAAAUUCCAAACUCUGCAGCAGGCCAUAGUCAGCUGUGUAUGGCUGAAAGAAGAAUGCUGGAUUUGAAUUAAUACACAGAUGAAAUACUGUAUAACUAUAAACAGCCACUGAGAAAUCCCCAUUCCUAGCUUAACUGCUCUAACAGGUUUGUAUAGUGAAAGGUCAUCAACUGUUAAACUUUUUUUUGCUAUAGUCCUUUGUCUUCCAUAGGAUCACUAUUUCCUUUGUGCUUGCAAUAAAAAUCUCAACAGUAAGUCACCAAGACAGUAAUACAUUUGCAAAAUGUUUUAGUGUGCACACAACUAUCUUAGGAGGAUGGAGAGCAUUACCUGGACUAGUAAUAAUCCCAUGUGUUUGGCUUUAUUCCUAAUGUCCCUGUGGGGUCAAAGUUGUCCUGCUGUCUGUGUGAAGGACAGAUGAUGAGCCUUUGAUGUCAGUUCAAGGUACAAAAAUGUUACUACUGUGAGCACUGCAAACCUCAGUAAACAGCUAAUACAGAGAUAAAUGCUUUAGGCUGUACCUCGUGUUCAUGUGCUGAAGUUGAAUACUAAGACUUUUCUGUUACUUAGCUAAUACUAGAGCCAUUACUUAUUCCGGGUAGCGGAGUGUACUUAUUAUUAUUUUCAUUACUAAAAAUUUUCUAAAUAUUUGCUCUAAGUUUAGAAUCAUGCUGAAAGAAGAAUAAACCUUAUUGACGAGUUCAGUUCACUUCCUUCGAUUGACAUUUCCAGGCUGAUAAGAUGAUGCGAUCAUAAAUCUCUGAAGAUCUCAACGUUACAGAAAGGCAUCUCAAUUAGCCACUAGAUCCAGAUGACAUUCUGACGAAACGUAUAAUGAGAAAAUUAAUGUAAUAUAAUCAUCCCUGUGAACAUAUAAGGUGUGCAGGCCUCCUGGGAUGGGAGGCAGAAUCUUUCCCUUGCUUUUUUCUCCUUUUCCUUUCCCUUCCUUGUCCCCUUGCCCGUCGCCUUCCACUUACCUUGCCUUCACUUACCUUCCGUUCUCCGCCUUGCUUGUUUUCCGCUUUUCUCUUCCGACUUCUUCAAGUCAAGCCUCCUCUCGACGCAAGUCUCCUCUCGACGCUUUCCUUGUGGGCUUGA